This 124-nucleotide ribosomal RNA is filed under the name Azospirillum brasilense. RNAcentral describes it as "partial 16S ribosomal RNA". It matches the Rfam family "Bacterial small subunit ribosomal RNA", at positions 1418 to 1533 of the family's 1533-position model. The record is from RNAcentral. Lineage: Bacteria; Pseudomonadati; Pseudomonadota; Alphaproteobacteria; Rhodospirillales; Azospirillaceae. RNAcentral also lists the same sequence under 2 other names.
UACCCGAAGGUGGUGCGCUAACCGGCAACGGAGGCAGCCAACCACGGUCAGGUCAGCGACUGGGGUGAAGUCGUAACAAGGUAGCCGUAGGGGAACCUGCGGCUGGAUCACCUCCUUUCUAAGG